AACUAGACUCUCCUCCCAGCUACAGCAAGAUAAUAGCUGCUGGCUACAGCUGGGAAUUCUCGAAUUCUUUCAAACUGGAGACUAGGAACGAGAGGUGAAGAAAAGUUCUUCUGAGGUCCAAAGAGGAAAAUGGGGCCCAGCGGUGUCAUCUGAAUGCUUCCAGCGGGACCCGAAAGCACAGAACCAUGAACUGUAGAAAGUGAACGCUGGCUCACUCAGCACAUCCUUUUGUGUUUCUCGACUGAUUGUUUCUCUUUGUCUCUUCCAGCUGAAGAGUAAGCAUGAGUCAUCGGCCUGACUUCUAACCGAGGAAGGGAACCGAGGAAGGGA
RNAcentral lists this long non-coding RNA (330 nucleotides) under Lynx pardinus (Iberian lynx). The record is from RNAcentral. Lineage: Eukaryota; Metazoa; Chordata; Mammalia; Carnivora; Felidae.